Molecule: non-coding RNA, 3421 nt
Organism: Python bivittatus (Burmese python)
Lineage: Eukaryota; Metazoa; Chordata; Lepidosauria; Squamata; Pythonidae
Source: RefSeq, a predicted model, not a curated record
CAUAUUUGGGCUCACAUGAAAACUAGCCAGGAGAUAAGCAGCCUAGUGGUAAGACAUGACAGGAAGCAGCCAAAAAGCUUAUCUCCACCUGCAGUUUCCUGCAAGUGUAUAAAAACAAGCAAAGAGAAGAACAGAGACUGAACAGAAGGCACAGCUAAUACCUUUCAGUUCCUAGAAUACUGUAACCACAAGGAAAAAGGGAUCCCUCAUCACGUAAUGGAGCCAGGUGCCCGGCUGUCCCCGGAACCCCUCACUCACCUUGGCCGGCUGGAAGGCCCGGAGGGAGAACCAGCGAGAACAGCGGAGGCUGGGAGGACGACUUCCCCGCGGUGUUGGUACAGGUAAAGCGGGCGGGGGCAGCGGAGCGGUCGGCGCGGAAGCAGCUAAGCUCAGUCCUCGUGCUGCCGCCGCUGCUCCGACUGAGGGGAGCAGGCGAAGAGAGCGCUGCCUUUUACCGCGAAGGGAGGGGGGAGGAAGGCCGACCCCUCCCCCUCGGGGCUAAAGAGCGGGGUUGUCCCUGGAGGGGAGCGUGGCUGCGCUGCCUCAGCCCCACCCAGCCACCCACCGCUGCGGGCAGGAUGGGUGGCGCCGUGCGCGGGGUCCCCCCUCACGGCCAGGCACGAACCUCCUCUGCCACGAAGCUCUUCCUUGGGCCUGGUCCCCGGAGGGGUGGGGGGGUUAGCUGGGCGCCUUUCGGGAGGGCGCUCAUUAGGUCAAGGUGGGAGUCCUAAUAGUCGUAUCUCCGGCGACGUCUGUGCGUUCCUGUACGACCGCGAAUGUCUGGAAGUUAAACGAAGCCCAACUAGCAAGUGAAAAUCCCAUACAGUGCAUCCCCUCCAGUGCGCUGCAUGAACUAAUGCAGACCUGAGUUUAGCAUUUCUACCUGACCAGUGAAGAUGGAGUCCUAAGUCUUAUAUGUAUACAUGAUGCUGAUGGAGACAUUAGUCAUUUUCAGGUACAUAAAAGGAAGCUACAGAGAAGAUGGUUGAGAACUACAGUACUUUCUCUGGCCACAGAAACGUGGACCAGAAGCAGUGGGUAUAAGUUGCUGCUACCUCAAAUUUGUUUAAAUCUAAGGAAAAACUUCCUGAUGUAAGAUCUGUACAACAAUGGAACAGUCUAUGGAGGUUAGGGGGCCAGUAUUUCUGGAGGUUAUGCAUACUACCUCUCAUGGAUGAUUGAACUGGUUUUCUACCACAUUGCAGAGGGGACCAGAUGAUUCUUGUGAACUCUUCCAACUCCAAAAUUCUGUAUUCAUUCAAGUGAUUAUUUUCAGAUGAACUUUAAUAUCAUCAGGAAGGAGUAUAAUAGAAUGUUUAGCAGACCCUAAGAGGAGGAAGCAAGAGCAUUUCAGAAAAGAUUCCUUAGUCCAGGGAAGAGAGGAAAGAGACUAGGAGUAACUCCAUCUUAAUUAUGCUAGGUAUACGUUAAUAUAUAGAAUUGCUUUGAUAGGCUUUCAAGAUUCCCUUACCUUACCCUACUAACAACAGAAGGCCAAUUUGGUUUAGUAGUUAAGGAGUUGGACCAGGAGCAGGGAAGCCUGAGUUGUACUUUUACUUUUAGCAUGAAAGCUUGAUGGUUGACUGUGGGCCAGUUGCCACGCUCAGCCCUAGGAAGAAAGGCAGACCUAGCCAUCAUUUGCCCUAUAGAAGUGCAGUGUUACCAAUUGAAACUGACUAGGUGUUGGACAACCAUGUUUCUUGGGGUGUAGAGGUGAGGAGGGCUGUAACCGACAAAUAUAGGGAAACUAGCACAUGACCAAUAAAAGCCAAGAUGCACAUCCCUAAUUGUUUUCAGGAUGCUGGAAUGAGAAAGAGUGAUGGUGCCACAUCCUGAAAAUAAUGCUGUACCUGGAGGUUACAAUCUCUACUGACACCAUUUCAGAAUUGCACAAAUAUGUCCUGUUUUCUUCUAGUGUAUAGAUAAAAUAGCAGUGGUAUGGUUAUUCCUUCUUUCUCAAAUAAAAUUGCGGAGCUCUGCUCUCCUCUACAGUACCCUGUUGGAAGUCUGGAGAAAAAUUGGUAUUAAUGGAGAUGGGAGAAGGGAAUGGUAUGAAAGAACUCAGGGAACAUCAUGCUGGUGGAGAGGGCAAAUGCUGGUAGAAAAAUGGCUGAAAUGGGUAUAUGGGGAGUGAUUUCACCAGUUUGCCUUCUGAUAAACGCAUGACUUUCAAUUGACCAUUCCUACUGUAAUAGAUAUUGUGUAAAUGGGCAAGGCUUCUCCUAUAGCAGCUAUUUUAUGAGAAUGCACUUUUUGUAUUAUCAAAACUGACCCCCAAAGAUUACCUUCUCCUGGUCUACAUAAUUCAACUCUCCAGUUAUGAUGAGUUUUUACUAUGACUAUUGUUAAGGCUCUGUAGCACCUAUCUUUAAAGUUCCUAGUAAUCCACUUUCUUGAUGUGAUAGUUUUCGUUGUCUUUAACUUUCAUUUAUUGAAAUAAAAAUAGGAAAAAUCAUGCAUAGAAGUAUGAAGAGACUCAGACUCAAAUUUGCCAAAAUACACAUGAUUUCUAAAAAUGUAAACAAGCGUCUGGGAACACAUCAUCCUUGUAUCUCAUCCUGAGUGUACUUGGGUGGCCUGUGCAACAACUCUAAUCACAUUCCAUUGCUUUCUCUCCUGAUAUGUUUAAUUGCAUAGAAUGUCCUUGGCACAUAAGAAUUGUUUACCCAUUAAUUUAUCUUGACUUUCUGUGUUCAUGCUUGGGCAGAAGCAAGUGGUAAUGAAGGCUGGUCAACUGGAAAUAUCAGUGAUUAAACAUGUUCAUCAAAUUUUGACUUUGUAUAAUUGAAAAUUUAUUUGCAUCUUCCCAGCUUUUUAUGCAUACUCUCCAAUGUCUGUAGAGGAAUUUUUUUCUCCUUUAUUAUUGGAAACAUUAAUACUGAUUGUACAGAAUAAAGAGAGGAGAACAAUGAGAGGACUUAUCCAAGUGCUUGAGAAGCAAUAACCUAUAAGACUAUUAUUUGUCUCCCAGAGUUGUUAGGUAGUUAAAGGUCUCAAUUACUAUUUCAUGCCUCUUUGAAAGAUCUGCAAUUUGAUCUUGGAAAGCAUACUCCAUCUUUUUUUCUUGUUUGGGCAGGUGAUAGUAGGCACUAAUAACAAAAUUACUUUUAUUUGUUCAUCUACUUAUAUAACACAGAUGCCUACUGCUUUAUCACCAAAUUCAUUCACUUGGGUUUCUGAGUAAGUGUGCAUACUUUUAAGUAUGUAAUGUAACUCUUCUUCCCCUUGCUAUUGCUUCUGUUCCUUCUGUACAAAUAGUAUCCUUUGCUGUAUUCUAACUGCUGUAUGCCAGUCAUUCCACCAAAUUUCCCUUAUGCAUAUUAGAUCAUAUUUAAAUCAUGUACUGGGAGUUUUGGAACAAGAGAAGAAGAGGACAAACCAACAACAAGGUGGAAGGACUCAGUACAGUGGUGAUGACUGC